Molecule: ribosomal RNA, 423 nt
Filed under: Fuligo septica var. flava
Lineage: Eukaryota; Evosea; Eumycetozoa; Physariida; Physaraceae
Description: SSU rRNA
Rfam family: Eukaryotic small subunit ribosomal RNA
Source: RNAcentral
ACACGUAUGAAAGUCAAGCUGAAAGACUUUACUCAAUGAUGUAAGUGGUGGUGCAUGGCCGUUCGUAGUUCGUGGAUUGAUUUGUCUGGUCUAUUCCGAUAACGAGCGAGACCCUGACGUUCCUAAUAGGGGUGGCAGCCCGGCUGGCCGCAAGGUCAGCUAGCUGCUGCUUUUGUUAGCUUCUUGGACGGAUCAGAGCCGAUAAGGUUCUUGAAAUGGGUUAAUAACAGGUCAGUCAUGCCCUUAGAUGUUCUGGGCCGCACGCGCGUUACAGUGGCAUGUAAAGCAAGUGCUGGUGUCAGUGUUCCCGGAGUCGAAAGGCUGUGGUAAUCCCUAGUCCUUGCCAAGACUGGGAUAGACCAUUGCAAUUAUUGGUCUUAAACGAGGAAUUUUUAGUAAUCGCAGGUCAUUAAUCUGCGAUGA